RNA transcript from Oenanthe melanoleuca, 7752 nucleotides. It is a transcript of the gene named RAN binding protein 10, with no coding region annotated. The transcript is spliced from 14 exons. Lineage: Eukaryota; Metazoa; Chordata; Aves; Passeriformes; Muscicapidae. The record is from RefSeq and is a predicted model, not a curated record.
GCCGAAGGGGGGACGGGGCUUUGCGUGCUCCGCCUCCCGGGAGUUGUAGUCUCUGCGAAAGGCAGGGGCGAGCGGCCGGGCGUGACGGGGACUGCCCUUCCCGUCGGGCGGCGCGGCCCCAUUGUGGGCACGCUCGCAGCCCAUUGGCUGCCGGCCGCGGCUGGGCCUCGCUCCCCGCCCGCUGACACAAAGCGGCUCCAAGAUGGCGGAGGCGGGCGCGGGGAGCCCGCACGGCGGGGACUCGGCGCCGCCGGGACCGCCCGAGGAGCAGGAGCUGAGCCGGCGCCUCCGCCGCCUCUACCCCGCCGUCAACCAGGACGAGACGCCGCUGCCGCGGUCCUGGAGCCCCAAGGACAAGUACAACUACAUCGGCCUCUCGCAGGGCAACCUGCGCGUCCACUACAAAGGUCACGGUAAAAAUCACAAAGAUGCUGCCUCGGUCAGGGCCACUCACCCCAUCCCUGCAGCCUGUGGCAUUUAUUACUUUGAAGUGAAGAUCGUCAGUAAAGGUAGAGAUGGGUACAUGGGAAUAGGACUUUCUGCUCAAGGAGUCAACAUGAACAGGCUUCCUGGAUGGGAUAAACAUUCCUAUGGGUACCAUGGUGAUGAUGGGCACUCCUUCUGUUCCUCGGGGACAGGGCAGCCCUACGGCCCCACCUUCACCACUGGAGAUGUGAUUGGCUGCUGUGUCAACCUUAUCAACAACACCUGCUUCUACACAAAAAAUGGCCACAGUUUAGGUAUAGCCUUUACAGACCUCCCUUCAAACCUCUACCCUACAGUGGGUCUCCAGACUCCAGGAGAGAUUGUGGAUGCCAACUUUGGGCAGCAGCCCUUUGUGUUUGACAUUGAGGACUACAUGAGGGAGUGGAGGGCGAAGAUCCAGAGCACCAUUAAGCGCUUUCCCAUAGGAGACAGGCUGGGAGAGUGGCAAGCCAUGCUGCAGAAUAUGGUUUCAUCAUAUUUGGUUCACCAUGGCUACUGUUCAACAGCAACUGCCUUUGCCAGAGUCACAGACACCACAAUCCAGGAAGAACAGACCUCAAUAAAGAACAGACAAAGAAUACAGAAACUAGUAUUAGCAGGCAGAGUGGGAGAGGCUAUAGAAGCCACCCAGCAGCUCUAUCCUGGCCUCCUAGAACAUAACCCCAACCUGCUCUUCAUGUUAAAGUGCCGGCAGUUUGUGGAGAUGGUGAACGGCACCGACAGCGAGGUGCGCUGCUUCAGCGCCCGCAGCCCCCGCUCCCAGGACAGCUACCCCGGCUCCCCCAGCUCCAGCCCCAGGCAUGGAUCCAGCAACUCACACCUUCACAGUGCUGGAGCAGAUAGUCCAACUUGUAGCAAUGGAGUCAUGUCCACGAAAAGCAAACAGAGUCACAGUAAAUACCCAACACUGAGUUCAUCAUCUUCAUCUUCCUCCUCCUCUUCCCCUUCAUCUGUGAACUACUCUGAGUCCAAUUCUACAGAUUCUACCAAAUCUCAGCAGCACAGUAGUACGAGUAAUCAGGAAACCAGUGACAGUGAGAUGGAAAUGGAGGCUGAGCAUUAUCCCAAUGGAGUCCUGGAAAAUUCAUCCACCAGGAUAAUGAAUGGCACCUACAAACAUGAAGAGAUCCUGCAGACAGAUGAGUCCAGCAUGGAAGACAGCUGCCCCCAGAGGCAGCUCUGUGGAGGGAACCAUGCUGCCACAGAGAGAAUGAUCCAGUUUGGACGGGAGCUGCAGAUCCUGAGCGAGCAGCUUUGCAGAGAGUAUGGGAAGAACACCAUGCACAAAAAAAAUGCUUCAGGACGCCUUUAGCUUGUUAGCUUACUCAGACCCCUGGAACUGCCCUGUUGGCCAACAGCUGGACCCCAUCCAGAGGGAACCUGUGUGUGCUGCUCUCAAUAGUGCUAUUUUGGAAUCGCAGAACCUGCCAAAGCAGCCGCCGCUGAUGCUGGCGCUGGGCCAGGCCUCGGAGUGCCUGCGGCUGAUGGCGCGGGUGGGGCUGGGCUCCUGCUCCUUCGCCAGAGUCGACGAUUAUUUGCACUGACCCCGGGCGGGACGGAGCUGCCGCGGAGUGCUGCCCCUCACCCUCUGCUGCUGCCACUCUGCACCACCUCGUGGAUAGCUGAGCUCCCUGCACCGACACCCCGAGCACACACACUGCCUGUGCCAGGACUGAGUGAGUCCCUCACUGUGCUGUCCUGCCCCAGGAGGACUGGCAGGUCUGACCCAUCUCCUGCCUUCGCUGCGGCUCCAGCGGCACUCAGUAUUUCGCUGGUUAUUCUAAUGUAGCCUUCUGAUGUAGGGAUUUUUUCUCUUUUGUUUUGAUUUGAGUUGUUUCUCAUGGUUCCACCAAUAUUUUAUCUGGAGAGUUUUGCUGAGCUGGUUUAUGCUGAUUUACUGAGGAAGCUCAUCAAGUUGGUGACAGCUUGUUCUUUCCUUCCCUUCUCCCUCCAUCGUGCACAUACAGCAUCAUCCGUGCUAGUAAUCCGAACUCUUCUCACAGUGGCAGUUCAGAGGGAAUUUUUUUUUAUUUUAUUUGAAUCAUGUUUAUUAAAAAGGUCUCUUCCACCUCCACAAAGUCAUUGAUGUAUUUAUUGCCCACAGACUCGUUCCCAGCCACACACACACACACAGCCCCUCAGGAGGCCGGGUGAGGUAGGUCCUGUCACACACUGAUGAUGGGAAUUGGAGGAGCCUGGUCCUUCAUGGUGCCUCUCUUUGGAGUCCAAAGCUCUCAAUUUUGGCUUUGUGAUAGGGAAGAGUAGAAGAGUGACAUUGUCUGCAUUGGUGAUUGUGCUGUAGAAGCAUCUCACAGCCCUGAGAAGGAGUUAAAUCCAGCUCUCUGAACAGCUGGAGGGGCAGGACUGAUGAAUAUGAAGUCAUCUGCCACUGUAUGGAUAGAACCAGAUCAUGUGAGUUGGCCAGAAGCAUCUGUGGGUGAUGCCCUGGUGGGCUGACAGUUUUUAAUUAAACAACAAAUCCUCCUUUUUCCCCAUGGAGGAGGGCUCUGCCACUAACUCAGUAAUAACAGUAUUUCCUGGCCUCUCCCAUCCCUGUAACACUGAUCUUAAUGAGCACUUCUAAAUUUUGGAAGUGUCUGGAGAAACCUGGGCUGAGCUGUGCUUGUCCUUGCAGAUGGGACAAGCUGAGGUCAGACUGCAGGUUGGGGUCAGUACCAGCUCUGUCGGGCCUGAGCCAUUCAGAAAGGAGCAGCAGUGUUUCCUUAGGGAUUAUUAAAAUAAUUAUUGAAGUUUCAGGCCCAAAAGAGACCAGUAAGGAUCUGUGGGUGAGUAAUCACUGAGUAAAAUGGACUAAUGUGUCCAUGCUGUGUGCCAGGCCCGGGGACUUGAGUGCUACCAAACAGAGCACCUGUGAGUGUUUCUGAGCAUGUUCUGUUCCCUGGCCUGGCAGCACCGUGUGAUUUUUAUCCUCUGCUGUACCCUUAGGAGAAGGCAGGGUCAGUCUGGCUGCAUGGGAAGAGUUGGAAUUCUGCACCAAAUUAAUUGUAGGUCAGUAGCUCUGAGGAGGACCCAAGGGAGCUCAAACUAAACAUGAAUUUUACUGCUGUUCAUGAAGUUUUUUGGGUUUUUUUGGAAGGUCAAUGAAUGAUGAACAGAUUUUGUUGAGGUUUGUCCUUAAAAUGGAGGUUAGCCUGUCCAGGACUUCAAGCACUAAGAGAGUUUGUGUGCCACUGAGAAGGAAAGUAGCGGCAGCCCAAAGCUUUCAGGAUUUUCUGGGUUUGCAGGAUGGAUUUGCUGCUGCCACCUCAGGUCUGAAAUCAAGGCAGAGCAGGGGAGCAGGUGCCAGGGCAGCCUGUGGCAGUGAAUGUGCAGAUGGUGUUGGAGAUGACUGGGAGCAUUAUCCCUGCCUUUGCUGAAGGUGUGCAGUGUGUGGGGGCAGUGCUGGAGCCAUGGUGGUCUCAGAGAACAGGAGGUUUAGAGCUGGAGGAGAUGGUUUUAUCAGAUCACUGGUACAGCUGCAGAAGGCAGAGGGAGCUCUACCACAGCCUUUAUUCCAGGGAGACAGAGAGCUGCACCAAGCAGGAUUGAACUUGCCAGUCUGGAGCUUCUCUUCCAGCUCUGGGGAGCAGCUCAUGUGCCUGAAGCUCAUCUGCUGAUUUUCAGCUCUGCUGCUGGAUCUUAGCCCAGCCUGCUGUCCCUGCCUUGCUGCAAGCACAGAGAGAACUCUGUGAGCAGGUUUCCUUCCCAAAGCCUGUGGUCCCAGAUGUGCCAAGGCAGCAUGUGAGCUCUGCCUGCUGGGAUUCUCCUGCAGGCUUUCCAUUCCUUAGUCUGGCAGCACACUGCUGGGCUGAUUCUGGGGACUGAGGUUGAAAUAAGCCAGGACCUUGCUUUGCCUUCCCUGUUUGGCAGCUUCUUCUGCUGUUGGUCACCACUUUGCAGCAGUCUGGCUGCAGUCAGACCUCUCUCAUCUUUGUAGCAGCACCAUCCUUAUCUCUUUCUGAGGAUUUUUUGGUCCUUUCUCUUUGUGGUUUCUUUAAGCCAAGUCUCUUCAUCAUGUAUCAUAUUAAUGCCCCAUUUGGUCUCAGCAAAACUUUGAUGACUGUCCUGGAGUGCCUUUUUUAUUUUGGUUUCACUACAAACAAAAAACCAACCAAGAGAUGUUCCUAGAUAUCUGGUUAUUUUGGUGCCAAGAAAUGUGUGAUGGAAGUUAUUUUGGUUUUUUAAAUUUACUUCAAGUGUUCUGGUGGUUUCACCAGUGGUUUCUGCUUCUGGUACUCAGAUUCUGACUAAUGUGGCCAUGACUCAGUGUGGAGAUCAGUGUGUUUGUGGUGUGUGGUGGGAUGUUGGCCCCAACCUACCCCUGAUUCCUAUAUGGGAUUUCUGGUGUGGUUUUGUCAGGUUGUAUUUCAAAGCCUCUUGCCUUUGUAUCUCCCUGGCUGCUCUUUGAUGGUUCAUGUUAGCUAAAACUUGGAUUAUUGCAGUGUUUUUUUAAAACAGAGCUAGAGUAAAAUGGGGUCUGUAACACUGAAUGUGGCUGUACACCUAACCAGAGGCUACAUGGCAAUUCAGAAGUUACUUUUAUAAAAAUUAUUUGGGUUUUGUUAUUCCAAGUGCCUCAAGCAACCUGGUCACUGCUCCCAAGAGUCCUUCAGUAAAACCAUGUAAAUGACAGUGGAGGAACUGCUGGUUUCCCAUUUCUGGUGAGGGACAAGGACUCAGCUACAGCCCCAUAGUGCUGGUGGCACUGGAUCUUCCAUCAUGUGUGGUUGACUCAGGUUGGUCUCUGCUGGGCUGGCUUCAGAUGCUGGGAGAAGUACAGAUGUGACAACUCCAGCUGCCCUUCCUGGCUCAUCCUUCCCUGCUGUCAUAAAGGGGCAGGUCCACAUGUGACAGUCCUUUUUUGCCACCAUACAGCAUCCCACCAGCCUGGGAUGGCUGCAGCACUUCUGUUCUUUUGGAGUCUGUUAGGAGUUGAGCCCUGUGUGGCCAGCAGAACAGAGAAGGACUCCCAGUGAAACACUGGACAGUACAGAGCCUCCAGCCCUUUCAGGGAAGUUGUCCAGUGGAUGCUCUCCCUCAGCCCCACGUGAGCCAAAGCUGGAGUUUGGUGCCUUGGGAUGUGUGAGAGGUGUGUGGUGAAAGAUGGAUGCUACAGCCUGUUUCUAUUUCAGCAUCCUGGUGGUCCUUGCUGUGCUGCUGCCCACUGGUUUGGACACUGGGAGGUGCAGUGUGGCUGGCAUGGAGAAUGAGCCCCUCUGGGAGUAUCACUCCUUAUGGUGACCUACACCUGGGAUCUUCCCAUAUCCUUCCUUCUCUUUUUUCACAGUGACAUCUCAAUCUGUUCCCAAACUGUGUCUCUGUUUUUCACGUUUUAUUAAGGCUUCUUUACCAUUCUUUAAAUAGCUUUGUUCUUGAGGCUGCCUUGAAAAACUGGAGCAGCCAGAACUGCUGGAGCUAGUUCUGGGGAUUUAAUGUAUAAUUUUCCACCUUGGGUAUCAGGGGUGAUGAACCAUCUCCUCCUUCAGCAGAGCAGACCAGGCUGGAGUGCAGCUGUGCUUUGGUACCUGUCUGUGCUAAUACACAGCACGUGUUGCUUAGACACACAUUUCAGAAUUCUGCUGUCCUGGGGUUGAUAGAGAAGGUGACCUAUGGCAGCCAGGCUGUAGAGCAGUGUGUAAGUGCCAUGAAGCUGUGUGGUGCACCACAUGGGGUCAGGGAGUUCUUCCCAUAAAGAAUCAGUGUAGACUUGAGCUGUGCUAUGGCAGCAGGUGGAGAGAGGUCCCUGAUGCUCCAGUCCUGGGUGCAGGGAGGCUCUGUGGAGCUGGUCACAGCCUGGGAGAAGGAGCAAGGGGCCCUGGUCCACCCAGGAGUCCCCUUUGCAUCUUCCUUCUGGCCCUGCCAGUGUGAGAGCAGCCUCAGUGCUGGGGCAGGGAGAGAGCAGGUCUCUUGUAGAGAGCAGGUGUGGGGUGUCAGCUGUACCAAGGUGUUUCUGCAGAAGGACAUGCUGGGUGCUGCUAGGACCCUUCUGCCCCAGAGGCAUGAGUGAUGGAGGGAGCUGCAAUCCAGCAGUUCUUGGUCAGAGCCAGAGCUGGCUGUGAGCCUUGUCCCAUCUGCUGUGUAGGGUUAGAGAGCUGGAGGAAGUGUUGCUGGGGCUAUGUGAGGGGAUUUGGGAGGAAAAGGGAGGAGUUGAGAGUCUGGAGGCCUCUUCCAUAGACAGCACUAGCUACUCUCUGCCAUCCUUCCCUGCAACAAGAGGUGGCAGGUGAGGGAUGAGUGUACCUGGCAUGUCUAGCCCUCUCCCCACAUCCCAAACCAGAGCUCAGAGCCUGCAACUUGAGCUGGACCAGUGCCUGGCAAGCCAGGGCAUCACCCAGGCUUGAGCACACGUUCUGCCAGCUCUUCUAUUUAACUCUCUCCUGCUCACAGGAAACCCACAAGUUCCAUGUGGAAUUUACACUCAUAUCACCACUGAAACAUUCCUGGAGGCCAUGCAAACCUCUGCUCCUUGCUGAAAGUGCCAUGGCCAGGCAGACACCUUUUCUCUGGUCACUCCACUUGGGUCCAGGCGUGUGCUUGGACAUUUUUGCUCGGGAGGACUUUAGCUGCAUCCUUCCUCCAGGAGGGAGCACAGAGGGAUUUUUGUAUGCUGGGCUUCUCACAUGCUUAGACUUGGAGAAAGGAGAAGCAGCAGCAGCUCUGGGGAUAAUCCAGAUUUUAAAGAAAAUUUGAAAACCACAAGUAUGGUGACUUCCAGACCAAGGACUGCACCGGCGCUGGGUUGGGAUCGUGUCUGUCAGUCCCACCUGUGCAGCCAGGGAGGCAGGAGGAGGCUGCAGCCCCUGAAGCUCUCACACUCAGCAGUGCAAGCCCCAGGACCUGCCCAGCAUGCAGUGAACUCUUCUGCUGGUUGCUCAAAACUCAGGUAUGAAAUAAAUGCUCAGCUGGAGCUUGGGGUGCGAGGUCUCCGCAGGUUUCCCGGCAGCCCUGGAGGAGCAGCUGCUGCUGGGCACAGCUCCCUGUGCCACUCCAGGCUUCUCAUGGCCCUCAGGAGGGAGUGUCACCUCCUGGGUACAACAUUGGCUACGUGGACAUUACACAAACUGUGCACAUUGGUUCAGUCUACGCUUAGUAUUUGUGAAUUAAGUUAUCUGAUGCUUCGCAUGAAAACUUCAAAAAAGGGGCUGGGGGGUGGAUUUUAACUGAGAAAAAGCCUAUGAAAAUAUACUGGAAAUAUGGUAAAGAAAUCGACAUUCUGCUGUAUAUUGACAGAAUUAUUUUUAUUAAAAUACACAUCCAUGUGCAAGA